This 74-nucleotide transfer RNA is filed under the name Streptomyces hygroscopicus subsp. jinggangensis TL01. RNAcentral's name for it is "tRNA-Met". Lineage: Bacteria; Bacillati; Actinomycetota; Actinomycetes; Kitasatosporales; Streptomycetaceae. The record is from RNAcentral.
CGGCCUGGAGAUCGUGAUGGCCGUCGCGCAGGGCGUGGAAGCCCGGCGCGAGCCGGUCGGCAAACGCAGCUCCG